This 440-nucleotide ribosomal RNA is filed under the name Axis porcinus (Hog deer). Its description in RNAcentral is "partial 12S ribosomal RNA". It matches the Rfam family "Bacterial small subunit ribosomal RNA", at positions 768 to 1404 of the family's 1533-position model. Lineage: Eukaryota; Metazoa; Chordata; Mammalia; Artiodactyla; Cervidae. The record is from RNAcentral.
CAAACUGGGAUUAGAUACCCCACUAUGCCUAGCCUUAAACACAAAUAGUUAUAUAAACAAAACUAUUCGCCAGAGUACUACCGGCAACAGCUUAAAACUCAAAGGACUUGGCGGUGCUUUAUACCCUUCUAGAGGAGCCUGUUCUAUAAUCGAUAAACCCCGAUAAACCUCACCAUUCCUUGCUAAUUCAGUCUAUAUACCGCCAUCUUCAGCAAACCCUAAAAAGGUACAAAAGUAAGCACAAUCAUAGCACAUAAAGACGUUAGGUCAAGGUGUAACCUAUGGAGUGGAAAGAAAUGGGCUACAUUUUCUAAUAUAAGAAAAUCUAACACGAAAGUUAUUAUGAAAUUAAUAACCAAAGGAGGAUUUAGCAGUAAACUAAGAAUAGAGUGCUUAGUUGAAUUAGGCCAUGAAGCACGCACACACCGCCCGUCACCCUC